GUUUAAGUAGUAUAAAUUUWCUUACAUUAUCCUUUCUAGAUAAAAAUAUUUUUAAAAAAUCUUAGAUA
This 68-nucleotide transfer RNA is filed under the name Succinea putris (European ambersnail). Its description in RNAcentral is "tRNA-Glu". Lineage: Eukaryota; Metazoa; Mollusca; Gastropoda; Stylommatophora; Succineidae. The record is from RNAcentral.